GAAUUCGCCCUUAGAGUUUGCUUCUGGCUCAGGACGAACGCUGGCGGCGUGCCUAACACAUGCAAGUCGAGCGGAGUUACAUGAGGAGUAAUCUGAGUGUAACUGAGCGGCGGACGGGUGAGUAACGCGUGAGCAACCUGCCUUUUACAGGGGAAUAACGCACCGAAAGGUGCACUAAUACCGCAUGAGACCACAUCCUCGCAUGGGGGAGGGGUCAAAGGAGCAAUCCGGUAGAAGAUGGGCUCGCGUCCGAUUAGGUAGUUGGUGGGGUAACGGCUCACCAAGCCUGAGAUCGGUAGCCGACCUGAGAGGGUGAUCGGCCACACUGGAACUGAGAGACGGUCCAGACUCCUACGGGAGGCAGCAGUGGGGAAUAUUGGGCAAUGGGGGAAACCCUGACCCAGCAACGCCGCGUGAGGGAAGAAGGUUUUCGGAUUGUAAACCUCUGUUCUUGGAGAAGAGAAGAAGACGGUAUCCAAGGAGGAAGCCCCGGCUAACUACGUGCCAGCAGCCGCGGUAAUACGUAGGGGGCGAGCGUUGUCCGGAAUAAUUGGGCGUAAAGGGCGCGUAGGCGGCCUUACAAGUCAGUAGUGGAAGUCCCAUUUUUAAGGUGGGGAGGGCUAUUGAAACUGUAGGGCUUGAGUGCAGGAGAGGUUAUCGGAAUUCCCGGUGUAGCGGUGAAAUGCGUAGAGAUCUGGAAGAACACCAGUGGCGAAGGCGGGUAACUGGCCUGCANCUGNCGCUGNGCNCGAAANUUGGGGAGCCUUAUAAGGAGANACCCNNNNANUCCACACAAAAAANCGGUCCUGUUUUGGGGGUGGGGGGUAUCGACCCCUUCUGUGCCCGAGGAAACACAAUAAGCAUUCCGCCCUGGGGAGGACGGUCGCAAGAUUAAAACUCAAAGAAAUUGACGGGGGCCCGCACAAGCAGCGGAGCAUGUGGUUUAAUUCGAAGCAACGCGAAGAACCUUACCAGGUCUUGACAUCCAGUUAAAGCUGUAGAGAUACAGUGUGCCUUCGGGCGAACUGAGACAGGUGGUGCAUGGUUGUCGUCAGCUCGUGUCGUGAGAUGUUGGGUUAAGUGCCAUAACGAGCGCAACCCUCGCCGUUAGUUGCCAUCGGGUCAUGCCGGGCACUCUAUUGGGACUGCCAUCGUAAGAUGUGAGGAAGGUG
RNAcentral lists this ribosomal RNA (1172 nucleotides) under uncultured bacterium. RNAcentral's name for it is "bacterial SSU rRNA". It matches the Rfam family "Bacterial small subunit ribosomal RNA", at positions 1 to 1175 of the family's 1533-position model. The record is from RNAcentral.